GCAGUUCUCUUCGAUUUCGUUCCGGAAACGGAACUUACUCUCUUCGUAAUCCCCAGAUCUGAACCACUUACCAGUGCAGCUGCUACUAUAAAAAGUGUCUCUGGUAUCUAUCGCACGUGAUCCAGGCCAUCAUGCAGUUUAGUUGUUAGGGCCAUUUACGCACUACGUAGUGGCUUAAAGCAUCACCGUCGUCGUGUUAGCUCCAAAAUGUUGUCGUUGUACGUGGGUUGUCUAAGGUAUAUGAUUGCAUCCAAGCAUUAUAACAGAAAUAGAUGAAAAGCAAGCUAAGGCGUUCAGCAAAACGUGUAGGUGACUUCAUCAACUACAGGGAUCAGUUACCUAAUCUGUCUGAAUCCUGGAAGAUUUCAGAAAGUGACAGAAGGGAAAUGUAAGGCUACAAUCCAGAAAUACUCAUUCAAAAGAAAUUUCACUGAAAACAGUGAUGUGGAACAUAGCCAAAGCUAAUUCAGAUCCAAACUCAUUGAUAAUAAUUCUGCAUGAUUAGCCCCAUUAGUAAUACUCUGGGCUGAUUCCAGAUUUAUCUCAUGUUCCAGAGUGGACUCAUUGCAAUAGGUGGAAUAAAAAUGACUAUGUGUUAUAAUUCA
This is a non-coding RNA of Pantherophis guttatus, 605 nucleotides long. Lineage: Eukaryota; Metazoa; Chordata; Lepidosauria; Squamata; Colubridae. The record is from RefSeq and is a predicted model, not a curated record.